GGAAUAUUGCACAAUGGAGGAAACUCUGAUGCAGCAACGCCGCGUGGAGGAUGACACAUUUCGGUGCGUAAACUCCUUUUAUAUGGGAAGAUAAUGACGGUACCAUAUGAAUAAGCACCGGCUAACUCCGUGCCAGCAGCCGCGGUAAUACGGAGGGUGCAAGCGUUACUCGGAAUCACUGGGCGUAAAGCGCGCGCAGGCGGCCUUUUAAGUUGGAUGUGAAAGCCUAUGGCUCAACCAUAGAACUGCAUCCAAAACUAUUGGGCUAGAGUGUGGGAGAGGAAGAUGGAAUUAGUUGUGUAGGGGUAAAAUCCGUAGAGAUAACUAGGAAUACCAAAAGCGAAGGCGAUCUUCUGGAACAUUACUGACGCUGAGGCGCGAAAGCGUGGGGAGCAAAC
This 398-nucleotide ribosomal RNA is filed under the name uncultured bacterium. RNAcentral describes it as "bacterial SSU rRNA". It matches the Rfam family "Bacterial small subunit ribosomal RNA", at positions 358 to 773 of the family's 1533-position model. The record is from RNAcentral.